This 371-nucleotide ribosomal RNA is filed under the name uncultured organism. Its description in RNAcentral is "bacterial SSU rRNA". It matches the Rfam family "Bacterial small subunit ribosomal RNA", at positions 526 to 896 of the family's 1533-position model. The record is from RNAcentral.
CGAAGGGUGCAAGCGUUACUCGGAAUUACUGGGCGUAAAGCGUGCGUAGGUGGUUUGUUAAGUCUGUCGUGAAAUCCCCGGGCUCAACCUGGGAAUGGCGAUGGAUACUGGCAAGCUAGAGUGAGGUAGAGGAGAGUGGAAUUCCCGGUGUAGCAGUGAAAUGCGUAGAGAUCGGGAGGAACAUCAGUUGCGAAGGCGGCUCUCUGGACCAUCACUGACACUGAGGCACGAAAGCGUGGGGAGCAAACAGGAUUAGAUACCCUGGUAGUCCACGCCCUAAACGAUGCGAACUGGACGUUGGGCUCAAUUAGGAGCUCAGUGUCGAAGCUAACGCGUUAAGUUCGCCGCCUGGGGAUACGGUCGCAAGACUG